AUUAAUUUGAUUCUGGUUAUAAUAUUAGUUUUUAUUAGAUAAUAUAUGUUAGGUUUAAUAUCGUUUUAUUUAAAUUUAUUUAAAUAUAUUUAUUGUUUAAAAUGUAAAUUAUAUUAAUAAUAAAUAAUAUUUAUGUAUAAUAAUAAUGUUAAUUUAAAUUACUCAGUAUUUAUAAUUAUACAAUGAAUGAGAGUUUUAUAUAGUGAUAAUAAAUAAGAAUUGGUUAAUUUUGUGCCAGCAACUGCGGUUAUAUAAAUAAUUCAAAUUAAUAUAUUAUAGUAGAAGAAAGUAAGAUAAUAAGUUAAAAGAGAUAAAUAGUUAAUAUAAAUAAGUAAAAUUUAUUAUAUUAAAGAAAAUUAAAUAUUUCUGUAAAUUUAAUCUUUGAAAAUUUAGGGAUAAACUAGGAUUAGAUACCCUAUUAUUCUAAUAUUUUAAAAAUUAAUUAUAUUAAAUUUACUAAAGUAGUAAGAAUAAAAAUUAAUAGUUAUUAAUUAUAAUUAAUUUAAAACUUAAAGAGUUUGGCGGUGCUAUAUAUCCAUUUAGGGGAGUUUGUUAAUUUAUUCGAUAAUCCUCGAUUAAUACUUACUUUUUUUUGAAUAUUUUUAUCAGUUUGUGUAUUGCUGUCGUUAGUUUAUCUUUUAAAAGGUUAGUAAAGAACAUAAUAAUAUUAUUAAUAUUAUUAUGUCAAGUCAAAAUGCAGCUAAUAAAGAAGGUUAAAAAUGAGCUACAAUUUAUAUUAUAUUAUCGGAUUUUUUUUUUUGAUUUAAUUAAAUGAAGAUGGACUUAAUAGUAAUUAAAAUAAUAGUUAGAUUUAAUGAAUAUUGGUUUUGUAGUGUGUACAUAUCGCCCGUCGCUUUUAUUGGAAAAUAAAAUAAGUCGUAACAAAGUAGGGGUAGUGGAAGCUGUUCCUGGAGUAA
This 917-nucleotide non-coding RNA is filed under the name Vampyroteuthis infernalis. Lineage: Eukaryota; Metazoa; Mollusca; Cephalopoda; Vampyromorpha; Vampyroteuthidae. The record is from RNAcentral.